Heterocephalus glaber (naked mole-rat) is the source of this 487-nucleotide non-coding RNA. Lineage: Eukaryota; Metazoa; Chordata; Mammalia; Rodentia; Bathyergidae. The record is from RefSeq and is a predicted model, not a curated record.
UGCAGAAAAUGAGCACUUCUCCUUUUCGCUCCAGUCUCCUCAGCUCAUCUCAGUAACUGGUCCACGUGGUCUUUGGAGAGCCAAUUGCUUGGAACACAGAGCACACUGAUGAGCUUCCCAGUUGCAAGGUUUCUAUUGAUGAGACUUUUAGGAGGGGAACCUGGGGAAGGGGUCGAGCAGACAAGCAGAGGAAUACCUGCCCAGCCACCCUGCCCAUUCCUGUGGUUCCUGUGAUCAGUGAUGUGAAGCUGCAGCAAAUAAAGCAAAUGACCACAAGUGGAAGGAAUCGCUCAUCUGCAGCCAGGAGAGUUUCUUAUGAAGACCUGGCUGCUAAGAGCUUCACAGGUUUCUAGGGAAAUAUGGGUAUGACCAAUGACCACUCCAACUCUGAAGUAGGGAGUAGACAACUACUGCAUGUUCAGUGAACUCUGGAAUGUAGCAUCCUUAUUGCAUUAAAGAAGAUACUAUUCUAACAAAAUAAUCCAAG